Molecule: ribosomal RNA, 733 nt
Filed under: uncultured bacterium
Lineage: Bacteria
Description: bacterial SSU rRNA
Rfam family: Bacterial small subunit ribosomal RNA
Source: RNAcentral
AUUGAACGAGCGAGAGAGAGCUUGCUUUCUCGAGCGAGUGGCGAACGGGUGAGUAACGCGUGAGGAACCUGCCUCAAAGAGGGGGACAACAGUUGGAAACGACUGCUAAUACCGCAUAAGCCCACGGGUCGGCAUCGACCAGAGGGAAAAGGAGCAAUCCGCUUUGAGAUGGCCUCGCGUCCGAUUAGCUAGUUGGUGAGGUAACGGCCCACCAAGGCAACGAUCGGUAGCCGGACUGAGAGGUUGAACGGCCACAUUGGGACUGAGACACGGCCUAGACUCCUACGGGAGGCAGCAGUGGGGAAUAUUGCACAAUGGGGGAAACCCUGAUGCAGCGACGCCGCGUGGAGGAAGAAGGUCUUCGGAUUGUAAACUCCUGUUGUUGAGGAAGAUAAUGACGGUACUCAACAAGGAAGUGACGGCUAACUACGUGCCAGCAGCCGCGGUAAAACGUAGGUCACAAGCGUUGUCCGGAAUUACUGGGUGUAAAGGGAGCGCAGGCGGGAAGACAAGUUGGAAGUGAAAUCCAUGGGCUCAACCCAUGAACUGCUUUCAAAACUGUUUUUCUUGAGUAGUGCAGAGGUAGGCGGAAUUCCCGGUGUAGCGGUGGAAUGCGUAGAUAUCGGGAGGAACACCAGUGGCGAAGGCGGCCUACUGGGCACCAACUGACGCUGAGGCUCGAAAGUGUGGGUAGCAAACAGGAUUCGAUACCCUGGUAGUCCACACCGUAAAC